CCGCCGAGUCAGAAAGACGUGGCCAAUGUCGACUCCUUGGACAACAGUGGAGUACAGCAACAUAUCCAGGGGCAAAGUGAAGAAAUGUCCAGUCCUUUGCAAGACGCCACGCAAAUCGGCAAACCCUGCGACGAAUCCAAGUUGAAAUCCCCUUAGGAGGCGUUCGACGGUCAGCAUUCACAAUAUUAAAUACUAAAUAAAUGUGCAGUAAAUAACAAAUGCAGAACGCUUUAUACUUUUACACUUAAAAUUAAAUUUCAGCUUAAAUCCAUACCGUCACAGCAGUGUAAUUCGCCUGCCAAUUGUAUGUUGUUGUGGUGUUGGGUUCAUUACUUGAUUCGGCUUGAGAUAUUACUUUAUUAGCUUCGAAUAUUACUUUAGCCAGCUUCAAAAUGGGACAGAUAGACAAAUGGAAAAGUAAUUUUUUCAUAUUACACUGUUUAAUUUAAAUAUACCAUAACAUAGCUGUUUUAAACGUUAAAUUUCUUAAUCAUUUUAGCUGUUGAUUUUAUCUUUUUAAUCGCUUCAUCUUCUUUUCCAACGGACAGUGAUCAGCGACUAACUCCUUGGCAAUCAAAUAGUCAACAAACGGUCGUAAUCUCCCUUUGAGUUAACACAUGCAAAAACGAUGCACACAAUUGAAAUUUCCGAGUUAUUGAAAUUGUUAUCUCAAUUGCGACAACCGAAGGCAAUAAUGCCAUGGUUUAUACGCAAAACGGAACGCAAAGGGACUGAGUGAGAAAAUGUUUGGCAGAUUACAUCAAAAAGAAAAAUCAGCAAUAAAAAUUUAAAAAAAUUUGAAUUUUACAACGACAAACCCUAAUGCUGAAUUAAGCAAUAAAAUCAAGCACCGCUUGCGAAA
This is a long non-coding RNA of Daphnia pulicaria, 862 nucleotides long. RefSeq lists it as uncharacterized. The record is from RefSeq and is a predicted model, not a curated record. The transcript has 2 exons. Lineage: Eukaryota; Metazoa; Arthropoda; Branchiopoda; Diplostraca; Daphniidae.